UACGAAGGGGGCGAGCGUUGUUCGGAAUUACUGGGCGUAAAGGGCGCGCAGGCGGCCUUAGAAGUCAGAUGUGAAAGCCCCGGGCUCAACCUGGGAAUUGCAUUUGAGACUGCAAGGCUUGGGUGCGGAAGAGGGAAGCGGAAUUUCCGGUGUAGCGGUGAAAUGCGUAGAUAUCGGAAGGAACAUCAGUGGCGAAAGCGGCUUCCUGGUCCAGCACCGACGUUCAGGCACGAAAGCGUGGGGAGCAAACAGG
RNAcentral lists this ribosomal RNA (253 nucleotides) under uncultured bacterium. Its description in RNAcentral is "partial 16S ribosomal RNA". It matches the Rfam family "Bacterial small subunit ribosomal RNA", at positions 524 to 776 of the family's 1533-position model. The record is from RNAcentral.